CAAUAGCGUAUAUUAAAGUUGUUGCAGUUAAAAAGCUCGUAGUCGGAUUUUGGCAUCAUGCCGAACUGUCAGCCGAUUGGUUUGUACGGUUUGGCGGGUGCUCUCCUUCCGGAGGCUCGUUUCCUCUUUCAUUAGAGGGUUCGAUGGUUCCGGGUCUUUUACUUUGAAAAAUUAGAGUGUUCAAAGCAGGCCUAUGCUCUGAAUAGGUUAGCAUGGAAUAAUAAAAUAGGACCUUGGUUCUAUUUUGUUGGUUUCUAGGACCGAGGUAAUGAUUAAUAGGGAUAUUUGGGGGCAUUCGUAUUAACCGGUCAGAGGUGGAAUUCUUGGAUUCGGUUACGACGAACUACUGCGAAAGCAUUUGUCAAGAAUGUUUUCAUUGAUCAAGAACGAAAGUGUGGGGAUCGAAGAUGAUCAGAUACCGU
Molecule: ribosomal RNA, 422 nt
Filed under: uncultured eukaryote
Lineage: Eukaryota
Description: bacterial SSU rRNA
Rfam family: Eukaryotic small subunit ribosomal RNA
Source: RNAcentral